Molecule: ribosomal RNA, 465 nt
Filed under: Molpadida sp. SHI-2011a
Lineage: Eukaryota; Metazoa; Echinodermata; Holothuroidea; Molpadida
Description: partial 16S ribosomal RNA
Rfam family: Bacterial large subunit ribosomal RNA
Source: RNAcentral
UGUUUAGAUAACAUGACCGUGCAAGGGUAGCAUAACCACUUGUCUCUUAAAUGGGGACAAGUAUGAAUGGCAUCACACCCUCUAACUGUCUCUUUUCUAACCUUCUAAACUUCUAUUCAUGUGAAGAAACAUGAAUAAAAAAGAUAGACGAGAAGACCCUGUCGAGCUUCAGCUAUUAAACAUUUCUUUUUCUCAAACCAAAUAAAUUUAAAAGCUUUGGUUGGGGCAACCAUGGAGAAAAAAAAUCCUCCAGUCAACGAAGAUUUCAAAUCACUUACUAAACCAAAAAAGAACCAGCCUGGAAAACGGAAAAAGUUACCGCAGGGAUAACAGCGUUAUCUUCUCUAAGAGUCCUCAUUGACGAGAAGGUUUGCGACCUCGAUGUUGGAUUGGGGUAACCAAAAGGUGCAGCAGCUUUUAUUGGUUGGACUGUUCGUCCAUUAAAUCCCUACGUGAUCUGAGUUC